UGCUUGGGAAUAUGCCUUGAGGUGGGGGACAACAGUUGGAAACGACUGCUAAUACCGCAUAAUGUCUACGGACCAAAGAGGGGGAUUCUUCGGAACCUCUUGCCUUUAGAUUAGCCCAAGUGAGAUUAGCUAGUAGGUGAGGUAAUGGCUCACCUAGGCGACGAUCUCUAGCUGGUUUGAGAGGAUGAUCAGCCACACUGGGACUGAGACACGGCCCAGACUCCUACGGGAGGCAGCAGUGGGGAAUAUUGCGCAAUGAGCGAAAGCUUGACGCAGCGACACCGCGUGUGGGAUGACGGU
RNAcentral lists this ribosomal RNA (300 nucleotides) under uncultured Colwelliaceae bacterium. RNAcentral's name for it is "bacterial SSU rRNA". It matches the Rfam family "Bacterial small subunit ribosomal RNA", at positions 114 to 415 of the family's 1533-position model. Lineage: Bacteria; Pseudomonadati; Pseudomonadota; Gammaproteobacteria; Alteromonadales; Colwelliaceae. The record is from RNAcentral.